Molecule: ribosomal RNA, 266 nt
Filed under: uncultured bacterium
Lineage: Bacteria
Description: partial 16S ribosomal RNA
Rfam family: Bacterial small subunit ribosomal RNA
Source: RNAcentral
GCAAGUCGAACGAGAAAAUCUCCUUCGGGGGAUGAGUACAGUGGCAGACGGGUGAGUAACACGUGGGUAACCUGCCCGGAGGUGGGGGAUAACUCUCCGAAAGGAGAGCUAAUACCGCAUAACACCUCGAGGUCCUCGGGCUUCGAGUUCAAAACAGGCCUCUACAUGUAAGCUUGUGCCACCGGAGGGGCCCGCGCCCCAUUAGCUUGUUGGUGAGGUAACGGCUCACCAAGGCUGCGAUGGGUAGCCGGCCUGAGAGGGUGAUC